This is a small nuclear RNA of Camelus dromedarius (Arabian camel), 107 nucleotides long. The record is from Ensembl. NCBI's taxonomy places the organism in Eukaryota, Metazoa, Chordata, Mammalia, Artiodactyla, Camelidae.
GUGCUCACUUCUGCAGCACAUAUACUAAAAUUGGAAUGAGACAGAGAAGAUUAGCAUGGCCCCUGCACAAGGAUGACAUGCAAAUUCCUGAAGCGUUCCAUAUUUUU